Molecule: RNA transcript, 1347 nt
Organism: Nasonia vitripennis (jewel wasp)
Lineage: Eukaryota; Metazoa; Arthropoda; Insecta; Hymenoptera; Pteromalidae
Exons: 2
Source: RefSeq, a predicted model, not a curated record
CCUGACUGACUCAAACUCUGGUUCAAGAUCAAGCUACUAGAGUCAUGCCUUUCACAAAAUAAUGCGCACCUAUAUCUAUAUACUAUACAUAGUACACUGUACAAUGUAUAUGUACUGACUACUGGUCAAUCUCACAAUGAUCUGUCUAUAGGUUACAGACAUAAGCUAGGUGCUUGUUUAUAUUUUUCUUUCAUACCAACAGUGAGUACAACAUUUAUUAAAAUACGUUUGUUUAUAUCAGGAACAAAUAACUUGUUCACUCAAAAAACAAUUCAUUUUCGAAAAGUAAUAAUGGUAAUUACCCAUUAAAAAUCAUCAAAAUAUAAGAAAGUAUGAGAUGUCUGCCAACGGCCAUGCAUCAAAUUUUGGGACUCACAAUGAAUCAUCAGUGCUGGAAGACAGGUCACGCAAUCAGAACCCAGAUGUAGGCAGAGCUGUCACUGAUGCUGUUCAUGAGAGGUUUAGACAAAGCUAUGUUUAUUGUGAAAAUUGCAAGGAAAAAUUCAUUGGAAAUGGUGUUAGUAUUCACAAACAUUUUAACAAAUCUCAUCCUGCAGACGUGCAGUGUAUUUACUGUUCAGGAAAAGUUUUUCAUUAUUACAAGGUAAAAAAUGGUAACAACAAAGCAGAACAAGUUUAUUAUCAUUGGUGUCGAGACUGGAUUACCAAAUGAGCCUUAGCUCUCAAGAUUAAAUAUAAGCAACCAAUAUUAUGGAUCUUAAAUUCCUUUGUGCAUUUAUUUAUAAUUAUUAUAAAUACUGAAAAAUGUACAAUGUACAAUAAUGUAAGUACAGUUUUAGAAAAGGCAGAGAUCUUAUGUUUUUGUGCCACUUAACUUAUUUACUAGAGCGACAAAUUUAAGUAUUAAAAUUACAUUGGACAUUAGUUAAAAUGAUGAGCUUAUAAAAUGAGAUUAUUUGUAAGCCUAAAACUAUUGUAGAGUAUACAGAGUUUGUUUAAUUCACGGUAUCUUAGUACAAUUCAUGUUAAGUUAUGCAAAACAUGUACACGAAUUAUUAUGGAAAAUUGGAAGUACUAAUUCUAGUAUAAUAAUUAUUCUCGUAGUAUAUAACUAAAGCAAUAUAUGCACAAAAAUAUGUGUGAUACUAAAUUUUUUUUUACGCAAAAGCAUUUAUAAAUAUGUCAACAAUUUGUGUAAAUAUUAAACAGUGAUGUUUUAAAAUGCAAUCAGAAUCUCAUUCAAAAUACCCUUUUUAGGAAUUUUUAUAUUUAAUUUAUAUAAAAUUGUAACAUGACAAAAAACUAAGAUUGUAAAUGAUACAAUAUAUAAUGUACACUAAAAAGAUAUACUCUUAAUAAAAUAGUUUUGUAUUUUUUACAAACAAA